RNAcentral lists this ribosomal RNA (497 nucleotides) under uncultured bacterium. Its description in RNAcentral is "partial 16S ribosomal RNA". It matches the Rfam family "Bacterial small subunit ribosomal RNA", at positions 28 to 507 of the family's 1533-position model. The record is from RNAcentral.
GAUGAACGCUGGCGGCGUGCCUAAUACAUGCAAGUCGAGCGAACGGACGAGAAGCUUGCUUCUCUGAUGUUAGCGGCGGACGGGUGAGUAACACGUGGAUAACCUACCUAUAAGACUGGGGUAACUUCGGGAAACCGGAGCUAAUACCGGAUCAUAUUUUGAACCGCAUGGUUCAAAAGUGAAAGACGGUCUUGCUGUCACUUAUAGAUGGAUCCGCGCUGCAUUAGCUAGUUGGUAAGGUAACGGCUUACCAAGGCAACGAUGCAUAGCCGACCUGAGAGGGUGAUCCGCCACACUGGAACUGAGACACGGUCCAGACUCCUACGGGAGGCAGCAGUAGGGAAUCUUCCGCAAUGGGCGAAAGCCUGACGGAGCAACGCCGCGUGAGUGAUGAAGGUCUUCGGAUCGUAAAACUCUGUUAUUAGGGAAGAACAUAUGUGUAAGUAACUGUGCACAUCUUGACGGUACCUAAUCAGAAAGCCACGGCUAACUACGUG